CUACGGGAGGCUGCAGUAGGGAAUUUUCGGCAAUGGAGGAAACUCUGACCGAGCAACGCCGCGUGAAUGAAGACAUAUUUCGGUAUGUAAAGUUCUUUUAUUAGGGAAGAAUAGCCCAUGGAAAAAUGGGUGUGACGGUACCUAAUGAAUAAGCCCCGGCUAACUAGGUGCCAGCAGCCGCGGUAAUACAUAGGGGGCAAGCGUUAUCCGGAAUUAUUGGGCGUAAAGGGUGCGUAGGCGGCCAUUUAAGUCUUUGGUAUAAGUGCAGUGCUUAACGCUGUGAUGCUAAGGAAACUGAAUGGCUUGAGUGAGAUAGAGGCAAGUGGAAUUCCAUGUGUAGCGGUAAAAUGCGUAAAUAUAUGGAGGAACACCAGUGGCGAAGGCGGCUUGCUGGGUCUACACUGACGCUGAGGCACGAAAGCGUGGGGAGCAAACAGGAUUAGAUACCCUAGUAGUC
This 457-nucleotide ribosomal RNA is filed under the name uncultured bacterium. RNAcentral describes it as "partial 16S ribosomal RNA". It matches the Rfam family "Bacterial small subunit ribosomal RNA", at positions 339 to 795 of the family's 1533-position model. The record is from RNAcentral.